This is a long non-coding RNA of Pantherophis guttatus, 320 nucleotides long. RefSeq lists it as uncharacterized. NCBI's taxonomy places the organism in Eukaryota, Metazoa, Chordata, Lepidosauria, Squamata, Colubridae. The record is from RefSeq and is a predicted model, not a curated record.
AAGCUUCCAUCUGAUUGCCAGCAUACUGCUGAAGAAGAUUGAAAUCUGACUGAAGUAUUCUAGCAUAAAGCUAUUGUUUUCCAUUCCAAGCUAGGAGAAGAUUUCCCAUGUGGAUGUUUUAGGUUUCAUGGGAGAAGACCCCUCAGAGAUGAGGAGAGGAAGCAAGUGAAGAUGAGCAGCAAUUCUGAGGUCACUAUGAUGAUGUAUGCAAUUUUCAUGCAAAUUUCACUCAAAAUGCAGAAAUAAAAGAAUGGACAUUUCUUCCAACAAUUGCACAGCAACACCUGGAGGAUCCCUAGCACUACGUUGGAGAAGUUCUA